AGUGAACGCUGGCGGCGUGCCUAAUACAUGCAAGUCGGACGGAGUGGCGCACGGGUGAGUAAUGUAUAGCUAAUCUCCCCUACACUAGAGGACAACAGUUGGAAACGGCUGCUAAUACUCUAUAGUGUAGGAUGAGGCUAUCUGUUAUCAGCUAGUUGUGGAUGUAAUGGCUCACCAAGGCUAUGCCGCAUAAAUGGUCUGAGAGGAUGAUCAGUCACACUGGAACUGAGACACGGGCCAGACUCCUACGGGAGGCAGCAGUAGGGAAUAUUGCUCAAUGGGGGAAACCCUGAAGCAGCAACGCCGCGUGGAGGAUGACACUUUUCGGAGCGUAAACUCCUUUUGUUAGGGAAGCGGUACCUAACGAAUAAGCACAGGCUAACUCCGUGCCAGCAGCCGCGGUAAUUC
This 408-nucleotide ribosomal RNA is filed under the name uncultured bacterium. RNAcentral's name for it is "partial 16S ribosomal RNA". It matches the Rfam family "Bacterial small subunit ribosomal RNA", at positions 29 to 526 of the family's 1533-position model. The record is from RNAcentral.